CCUACGGGUGGCAGCAGUGGGGAAUAUUGGACAAUGGGCGAAAGCCUGAUCCAGCCAUGCCGCGUGUGUGAAGAAGGCCUUCGGGUUGUAAAGCACUUUCAGUGGGGAAGAAAGCCUUGGGGCUAAUACCCUCGAGGAAGGACAUCACCCACAGAAGAAGCACCGGCUAACUCCGUGCCAGCAGCCGCGGUAAUACGGAGGGUGCGAGCGUUAAUCGGAAUUACUGGGCGUAAAGCGCGCGUAGGCGGUCUGAUAAGCCGGUUGUGAAAGCCCCGGGCUCAACCUGGGAACGGCAUCCGGAACUGUCAGGCUAGAGUGCAGGAGAGGAAGGUAGAAUUCCCGGUGUAGCGGUGAAAUGCGUAGAGAUCGGGAGGAAUACCAGUGGCGAGGGCGGCCUUCUGGACUGACACUGACGCUGAGGUGCGAAAGCGUGGGUAGCAAACAGGAUUAGAUACCCCAGUAGUC
This 465-nucleotide ribosomal RNA is filed under the name Vreelandella stevensii. RNAcentral's name for it is "partial 16S ribosomal RNA". It matches the Rfam family "Bacterial small subunit ribosomal RNA", at positions 338 to 795 of the family's 1533-position model. Lineage: Bacteria; Pseudomonadati; Pseudomonadota; Gammaproteobacteria; Oceanospirillales; Halomonadaceae. The record is from RNAcentral.